UUUGACAACUUAAUCUCUUAGGGAAGAUCAAAGUUCUGUACUAGUAGGUGGAUCCAGGCAAGUUUGGGCAUUUUCUUGGCCUCUGUCAGGUUAUCUCUCAAAUUCUUAUUUUAGUCAUCUUUAUAGUAGAAAGCACUGACAGCCUGCGAGUUUGGAUUUUGGUCUUUGGUCUCCUUGGUUGUGCUUAUUUAUCCUUUUAUUCCCGUUUUUCUUAUCAAGAAGUAAUGGAUAUUGGUGACUAAUGGCUCUCACUGCUUUCAGUCUCUCUAAAUCUGUAUAGAUGGUCUAGCAAGUUGUAAGACUCUUUCAGUGACUCUGAAAUUUUUCCAAGACUGUUUUUCACUUUUUCUCUUUAAAAAAAAGAUAUAUUUCCAUAAAAGCUCAGUAUUUAUCAGUAUACCUGGGUUAAAAGUUAAACCCUCCCCAAUGUGCCUUUAACUCUGGAAAAUGUAACUAAUGUAAC
RNAcentral lists this long non-coding RNA (463 nucleotides) under Bos taurus (domestic cattle). RNAcentral describes it as "long non-coding RNA NONBTAT007248". The record is from RNAcentral. Lineage: Eukaryota; Metazoa; Chordata; Mammalia; Artiodactyla; Bovidae.